This 253-nucleotide ribosomal RNA is filed under the name uncultured bacterium. RNAcentral's name for it is "partial 16S ribosomal RNA". It matches the Rfam family "Bacterial small subunit ribosomal RNA", at positions 524 to 776 of the family's 1533-position model. The record is from RNAcentral.
UACGGAGGGUGCAAACGUUGCUCGGAAUCAUUGGGCGUAAAGCGCACGUAGGCGGCUAGAUAAGUCGGGUGUGAAAGCCCUGGGCUCAACCCAGGAAGUGCAUUCGAAACUGUCUAGCUUGAAUCUCGGAGGGGGUCAGAGAAUUCCCGGUGUAGAGGUGAAAUUCGUAGAUAUCGGGAGGAAUACCAGUGGCGAAGGCGCUGACCUGGACGAAGAUUGACGCUGAGGUGCGAAAGCGUGGGGAGCAAACAGG